UACGGGGGGGGCAAGCGUUGUUCGGAAUUACUGGGCGUAAAGGGCUCGUAGGCGGCCAACUAAGUCGGAUGUGAAAUCCCCAGGCUCAACCUGGGAACUGCAUCCGAUACUGGAUGGCUUGAAUCCGGGAGAGGGAUGCAGAAUUCCAGGUGUAGCGGUGAAAUGCGUAGAUAUCUGGAGGAAUACCGGUGGCGAAGGCGGCAUCCUGGACCGACAUUGACGCUGAACGGCGAAAGCUAGGGGAGCAAACGGG
RNAcentral lists this ribosomal RNA (253 nucleotides) under uncultured bacterium. RNAcentral's name for it is "partial 16S ribosomal RNA". It matches the Rfam family "Bacterial small subunit ribosomal RNA", at positions 524 to 776 of the family's 1533-position model. The record is from RNAcentral.